This 440-nucleotide ribosomal RNA is filed under the name uncultured bacterium. Its description in RNAcentral is "partial 16S ribosomal RNA". It matches the Rfam family "Bacterial small subunit ribosomal RNA", at positions 338 to 795 of the family's 1533-position model. The record is from RNAcentral.
CCUACGGGUGGCAGCAGUGGGGGAUAUUGCACAAUGGGGGGAACCCUGAUGCAGCGACGCCGCGUGGGUGAAGAAGCGCCUCGGCGCGUAAAGCUCUGUCAGCAGGGAAGAAAAUGACGGUACCUGACGAAGAAGCCCCGGCUAACUACGUGCCAGCAGCCGCGGUAAUACGUAGGGGGCAAGCGUUAUCCGGAUUUACUGGGUGUAAAGGGGGCGCAGACGGCGGUGCAAGUCUGGAGUGAAAGGCGGGGGCCCAACCCCGGGACUGCUCUGGAAACUGCGUGGCUGGAGUGCAGGAGGGGUAAGCGGAAUUCCUGGUGUAGCGGUGAAAUGCGUAGAUAUCAGGAGGAACACCAGUGGCGAAGGCGGCCUGCUGGACUGCAACUGACGUUGAGGCCCGAAAGCGUGGGGAGCAAACAGGAUUAGAUACCCGUGUAGUC